GUAGGUGGCAAGCGUUGUCCGGGAAUUAUUGGGGCGUAAAGCGCGCGCAGGCGGUUCUUUAAGUCUGAUGUGAAAGCCCACGGGCUCAACCGUGGAGGGUCAUUGGAAACUGGAGAACUUGAGUACAGAAGAGGAAAGCGGAAUUCCACGUGUAGCGGUGAAAUGCGUAGAGAUGUGGAGGAACACCAGUGGCGAAGGCGGCUUUCUGGUCUGUAACUGACGCUGAGGCGCGAAAGCGUGGGGAGCAAACAGGAUUAGAUACCCUGGUAGUCCACGCCGUAAACGAUGAGUGAUAAGUGUUAGGGGGUUUCCGCCCCUUAGUGCUGCAGCUAACGCAUUAAGCACUCCGCCUGGGGAGUACGGCCGCAAAGGCUGA
RNAcentral lists this ribosomal RNA (376 nucleotides) under uncultured organism. RNAcentral describes it as "partial 16S ribosomal RNA". It matches the Rfam family "Bacterial small subunit ribosomal RNA", at positions 527 to 897 of the family's 1533-position model. The record is from RNAcentral.